RNAcentral lists this long non-coding RNA (2218 nucleotides) under Lepisosteus oculatus (spotted gar). Its description in RNAcentral is "lncRNA (ENSLOCG00000022242.1)". Lineage: Eukaryota; Metazoa; Chordata; Actinopteri; Semionotiformes; Lepisosteidae. The record is from RNAcentral.
AGAUCCCUGAGGAUCCCAGACACCCAGGGAUCUCAGAUCCCUGAGGAUCCCAGACACCCAGGGAUCUCAGAUCCCUGAGGAUCCCAGACACCCAGCUUUAAGUAUAAGGAACUAGUAGUAGGUUUAUUCCAUGCUAAAAAGAGAAGAGAUAAAACACAACAUUUCGGCUGUGAAUAAACCUAUUACUUGCAGAAUACGCAUGCCGACGCAGCUGCCCACCUGAACUGGUUUAAAUAUAAGGGCCCAUUUCAUUCCCCGCUGAAGUGCUGCUCCUCUUGGGGGGCCCAGCAGCCCUGCUGCCCAGCAGAUCAGGGGGAGGGGUGAGAAACUGCAGCGCCAAUUGAAUCAAGGGGGGGGGGGGACAAAGCGUGCAAGCGCCACCUACUGGUCCACCAGCACCACUUCCCGUAAUAAUUGAGCUUUCCUCAGUAGUUUCUCAUCCCAGGUCAGGCUCACGUUUUCCUUAGCUCCUGAUCAGACUGCAAGCUAGGAGCACUGGACUUCACAGGUAUGAGAACGUAAGACAGGCUACAAAGCGGCUUAGUCUGAGUGCUGUCAUCAUGCAGCCUUUCUCGAGAUCUAGGAAAUUAUUUGGGCAAAUUAGAGAAAAAAGUGCAGGAAAAUGAGCCCCAGACCUGUGAAGUCUCGGCAGGGGAAUAUGUCCUCGUGAUCUGUGUUGUCCAGAUGGUGGUGAGUAACAUCCUAGUAUAGACAAGCACCUCAAUCCCUGACACCCCAGCAGCUCCUCCCCCACCUCCCCAGACAAGAAGAGGAAAUCGGCUCACGGGUUUUCAAAAGUCGCCCGGUUCACACCACUGUUCGGCCAGCCUGAAACCCAGACAUCUCCCUUUCCUGCUCCCAGAUCAGUGUGCUGCAGUCAGAGCUGGAGACCCUGUCGACCCAGACAGCCUCCCUCAGAGAAGAGACGCGCUUGCUGAGGGAGCAGAUCCAGGACGUCAGGAAACAGCAUCGGGACAUAGUUUCAGUGUACAGGACUCACCUGCUGAGCGCAGCACAGGGAAUGAUGGACGAGGAGGUCUACUCCAUGCUUCUGUGCAUCCAUGGCAUGCAGAGAGAGGCUGUGUGCUGAGAGACUGACACCAUCCCCACUCCCACAAUGCACUCCUCCAAGUCAGAGCCCACACUUCCCCUUGACCAAUAAGGACUGUGGAAGACAGCAGACGUGCAUGGAGAGGGUACUGUGAUUGAUGGACACUGUGGUCUAAGACAGCAGCAUAUGAAGGCACCCAGAUCCCUGUAUAUGAAGCAGUCCUGACUGAUCACUGUUACCAUGUUUUUCUCCAUAUCAAACUGAAGCCUGUUCACUGUUGUCUCUGGUUUCUCCUUACACUGUGACAUAACCACAAAAAGUGCUGAAAUGUUUGUUCUUCAGAUUAAAUGUCUCACUCUGAUUGGGGGUGAUUGCACUUUGUUUUUCACAUAAUCUAACACUGCUCCAAACUUUUACGUUUUUUGCACGUUUAUCCAUUUCCGUAAAAUAAUUUAAAAUUGCUUUGGAUCAAGUGCAUUCUCAUAUGUUGGCUUCAGGCGUGUUACCCCAGCAUUGUGACCAAAUUCCCCCCCUGGCCCUUACCAAUCACACCCUCCUAAUAACCCCCCUCUCUGAACUGGCUUCUUCACUCUGCUCUCCUCCCCACUGAGAGCUGGUGUGUGGGGAGCGGACUGGCACAUCAUCCAGGUGGGGCUCCACACUGGUGCUGGUGGAGAGGAUCCCCAUUACAUGCAAACUCCAUACAGACAGCACUCCAGGUCUGCCUAUGGCUCGACUGGUAAUCUCUAUAAGAACAUAAUACAUCAAUCCUCUCUGAUUCAGAUGAAAAGAUGCCUGUCUAUAUACAUACUGUAAGCGCUGGCCCUAAAGUAAAGUAAAGUGCUUUGAGUGGAGUGUCCAGAGCUGUUUGAGAAAAGCACUACAUUACUACUGCUGAUGUCUGCCGUUGUGCUCUGCUGCCAACUGCUUGCUUGUCUUGUAAAACACACUCAACUGGUUGUUUGAUGGAGACAUCAAAGAUCAAUCACCAAUUUGAAGUUAUAAAAGGGUGGAUUAUGAUGCAAGAGUGCUGUGCUCCAUGCCCUUGACUUCAUAGUUCUGGUAACAGAGGUCACCUCCAACCGAUAAUGUAUUUGCUACAAAUGAAAGAAAAUACAUUCUGAUUGUGAUUGCACUGGAUAGUUACAUCUCAUUUCCUAUCAGCAA